AGCAUGAUUGCUUGAUCAUAUGUAUAAGUGUAUUUAGUUUGCAAGAAAUUGCCAAAAUGUUUUCCAAAGCAAUUAUACCAUUUUGCAUUCCCACUAGCAAU
RNAcentral lists this microRNA precursor (101 nucleotides) under Marmota monax (woodchuck). Lineage: Eukaryota; Metazoa; Chordata; Mammalia; Rodentia; Sciuridae. The record is from RNAcentral.